GUGUUUAUUUUACCUUGUUGCUUCGGCGGGCCCGCCUUAACUGGCCGCCGGGGGGCUUACGCCCCCGGGCCCGCGCCCGCCGAAGACACCCUCGAACUCUGUCUGAAGAUUGUAGUCUGAGUGAAAAUAUAAAUUAUUUAAAACUUUCAACAACGGAUCUCUUGGUUCCGGCAUCGAUGAAGAACGCAGCGAAAUGCGAUACGUAAUGUGAAUUGCAAAUUCAGUGAAUCAUCGAGUCUUUGAACGCACAUUGCGCCCCCUGGUAUUCCGGGGGGCAUGCCUGUCCGAGCGUCAUUUCUGCCCUCAAGCACGGCUUGUGUGUUGGGCCCCGUCCUCCGAUCCCGGGGGACGGGCCCGAAAGGCAGCGGCGGCACCGCGUCCGGUCCUCGAGCGUAUGGGGCUUUGUCACCCGCUCUGUAGGCCCGGCCGGCGCUUGCCGAUCAACCCAAAUUUUUAUCCAGGUUGACCUCGGAUCAGGUAGGGAUACCCGCUGAACUUAAGCAUAUCAAUAAG
Molecule: ribosomal RNA, 513 nt
Filed under: Penicillium commune
Lineage: Eukaryota; Fungi; Ascomycota; Eurotiomycetes; Eurotiales; Aspergillaceae
Description: eukaryotic LSU rRNA
Rfam family: 5.8S ribosomal RNA (bases 142-294)
Source: RNAcentral